AGAGUUCGAUCCUGGCUCAGAACGAACGCUGGCGGCGCGUCUUAAGCAUGCAAGUCGAGCGAAUGGGCGCCUUCGGGCGCCAGGAAGCGGCGGACGGGUGAGUAACACGUGGGUAACCUGCCCCACGGUGGGGAAUAGCACAUGGAAACAUGUGGUAAUACCGCAUGAGAGGCAUGGCGUUGAGCCAUGCGGGAAAGGCCCUUAGGGGCCGCCGUGGGAUGGGCCCGCGGCCCAUUAGCUAGUCGGCGGGGUAAAGGCCCACCGAGGCGACGAUGGGUAGCCGGACUGAGAGGUUGAACGGCCACAUUGGGAUUGAGAACGGCCCAGACUCCUACGGGAGGCAGCAGCUAAGAAUCUUCCACAAUGGACGGAAGUCUGAUGGAGCGACGCCGCGUGGGCGAUGAAGGCCGGAAGGUUGUAAAGUCCUUUUCGGGCAGAGGAAUAAGCGCGCCAGGGAAUGGGCGUGCGAUGACGUUAAGCCCGGAAUAAGCCCCGGCAAACUACGUGCCAGCAGCCGCGGUAAUACGUAGGGGGCGAGCGUUGUUCGGAAUCAUUGGGCGUAAAGGGCGCGCAGGUGGGCUGCCAAGUCUGGCGUUAAAGCCCGGGGCUCAACCCCGGGAUGCGCUGGAAACUGGCGGCCUGGAGUGCAGGAUGGGGCGCUGGAAUUCCAGGUGUAGGGGUGAAAUCUGUAGAUAUCUGGAAGAACACCGGUGGCGAAGGCGAGCGCCUGGCCAUGCACUGACACUGAGGCGCGAAGGUGCGGGGAGCAAACAGGUUUAGAUACCCUGGUAGUCCGCACAGUAAACGAUGCGCACUAGGCGUCGGGGGCAACCCCGGUGCCGCAGCAAACGCGUUAAGUGCGCCGCCUGGGGAGUAUGCCCGCAAGGGUGAAACUCAAAGGAAUUGACGGGGGCCCGCACAAGCGGUGGAGCAUGUGGUUUAAUUCGAUGAUACGCGAGGAACCUUACCAGGGCUUGACAUGCAGAGGAGCGCUCGCGAGAGCGGGCGGCCCUUCGGGGCCUCUGCACAGGUGCUGCAUGGCUGUCGUCAGCUCGUGUCGUAAGAUGUGAGAUUAAGUUCUUCAACGAGCGCAACCCCCACUGCCAGUUGCCAGCAGGCAAGGCUGGGCACUCUGGCGGAACUGCCGGCGACAAGCCGGAGGAAGGCGGGGAUGACGUCAAGUCAUCAUGGCCCUUACGUCCUGGGCCACACACGUGCUACAAUGGUCGGUACAGAGCGAAGCGAGGCCGCGAGGCGGAGCGAAUCGCACAAAGCCGAUCCCAGUACGGACUGGAGUCUGCAACUCGACUCCACGAAGUUGGAUCGCUAGUAAUCGCGCAUCAGCCAUGGCGCGGUGAAUACGUUCCCGGGCCUUGUACACACCGCCCGUCACACCAUCCGAGUCGGAGGCACCCGAAGUCGCCAGCCUGACCUGAAAGGGGGGGCGGUUCCGAAGGUGCGUCCGGUGAGGGGGGUGAAGUCGUAACAAGGUAGCCGUACCGGAAGGUGCGGCUG
RNAcentral lists this ribosomal RNA (1515 nucleotides) under Spirochaetales bacterium UBA6427. Its description in RNAcentral is "bacterial SSU rRNA". It matches the Rfam family "Bacterial small subunit ribosomal RNA". Lineage: Bacteria; Pseudomonadati; Spirochaetota; Spirochaetia; Spirochaetales. The record is from RNAcentral.